CCUACGGGUGGCUGCAGUGGGGGAUAUUGCACAAUGGGGGAAACCCUGAUGCAGCGACGCCGCGUGGGCGAAGAAGUAUUUCGGUAUGUAAAGCCCUAUCAGCAGGGAAGAAGAAAUGACGGUACCUGAGUAAGAAGCACCGGCUAAAUACGUGCCAGCAGCCGCAGUAAUACGUAUGGUGCAAGCGUUAUCCGGAUUUACUGGGUGUAAAGGGAGCGCAGGCGGCACGGCAAGCCUGAUGUGAAAUCCCGCGGCUCAACCGCGGAACUGCAUUUGAAACUGUUUUUCUUGAGUACCGGAGAGGUCAUCGGAAUUCGUUGUGUAGCGGUGAAAUGCAUAGAUAUAAGGAAGAACACCGGUGGCGAAGGCGGAUGACUGGACGGCAACUGACGCUGAGGCACGAAGGCCAGGGGAGCGAAAGGGAUUAGAUACCCCUGUAGUC
Molecule: ribosomal RNA, 442 nt
Filed under: uncultured bacterium
Lineage: Bacteria
Description: partial 16S ribosomal RNA
Rfam family: Bacterial small subunit ribosomal RNA
Source: RNAcentral